RNAcentral lists this ribosomal RNA (506 nucleotides) under uncultured bacterium. RNAcentral describes it as "bacterial SSU rRNA". It matches the Rfam family "Bacterial small subunit ribosomal RNA", at positions 49 to 507 of the family's 1533-position model. The record is from RNAcentral.
UAAGACAUGCAAGUCGAACGAGAUGGCCCAAUGAAGAUGGAGUGCUUGCACAAAAUUGGAAAUGGAUUCCCAUCUAGUGGCGCAAGGGUGAGUAACACGUGGGUAAUCUACCUUCGAGUUUGGAAUAACAAUUAGAAAUGAUUGCUAAUGCCGAAUUAUAUAUAAGCAGAUGCGUCUGUUUAUAUUAAAAGGAGCCUUUAAAGCUUCGCUUGAAGAUGAGCCUGCGCCGUAUUAGCUAGUUGGUGAGGUAAUGGCUUACCAAGGCGACGAUGCGUAGCCGACCUGAGAGGGUGAUCGGCCACACUGGGACUGAGACACGGCCCAGACUCCUACGGGAGACAGCAGUUAGGAAUAUUCGUCAAUGGGGGAAACCCUGAACGAGCAAUGCCGCGUGAAGGAUGACGGUCCUAUGGAUUGUAAACUUCUGUUGUUAGGGAAGAAAGAACUAAGUAGGAAAUGACUUAGGAGUGACGGUACCUUUCAAGAAAGCUCCGGCUAACUACGUG